RNAcentral lists this ribosomal RNA (425 nucleotides) under uncultured bacterium. Its description in RNAcentral is "partial 16S ribosomal RNA". It matches the Rfam family "Bacterial small subunit ribosomal RNA", at positions 354 to 796 of the family's 1533-position model. The record is from RNAcentral.
GUGGGGAAUAUUGGACAAUGGGCGCAAGCCUGAUCCAGCCAUGCCGCGUGAGUGAUGAAGGCCUUAGGGUUGUAAAGCUCUUUUGUCCGGGAAGAUAAUGACUGUACCGGAAGAAUAAGCCCCGGCUAACUUCGUGCCAGCAGCCGCGGUAAUACGAAGGGGGCUAGCGUUGCUCGGAAUCACUGGGCGUAAAGGGCGCGUAGGCGGACUUUUAAGUCGGGGGUGAAAGCCCAGGGCUCAACCCUGGAAUUGCCUUCGAUACUGGGAGUCUUGAGUUCGGAAGAGGUUGGUGGAACUGCGAGUGUAGAGGUGAAAUUCGUAGAUAUUCGCAAGAACACCAGUGGCGAAGGCGGCCAACUGGUCCGAUACUGACGCUGAGGCGCGAAAGCGUGGGGAGCAAACAGGAUUAGAAACCCCGGUAGUCC